This 253-nucleotide ribosomal RNA is filed under the name uncultured bacterium. RNAcentral describes it as "partial 16S ribosomal RNA". It matches the Rfam family "Bacterial small subunit ribosomal RNA", at positions 524 to 776 of the family's 1533-position model. The record is from RNAcentral.
UACGUAGGUGGCAAGCGUUGUCCGGAUUCACUGGGCGUAAAGCGCGCGCAGGCGGUCUUCUACGUCUGGGGUGAAAACCCGGGGCUCAACACCGGGACUGCCUUGGAUACGGGAAGACUUGAGGAUCGGAGAGGCAAGGGGAAUUCCACGUGUAGCGGUGAAAUGCGUAGAGAUGUGGAGGAACACCUGUGGCGAAGGCGCCUUGCUGGCCGAUUUCUGACGCUGAGGCGCGAAAGCGUGGGGAGCAAACAGG